Long non-coding RNA from Cynara cardunculus var. scolymus (artichoke), 189 nucleotides. RefSeq lists it as uncharacterized. NCBI's taxonomy places the organism in Eukaryota, Viridiplantae, Streptophyta, Magnoliopsida, Asterales, Asteraceae. The record is from RefSeq and is a predicted model, not a curated record. The transcript is spliced from 3 exons.
ACCAAGGAUAUUGGCCGCCAAGGAUUGAGGGAAGGGGCAAGUCUUGCAGAAGUGGUUCGGGAAGUAAAGCCAGAUGUACUCCUUGGAUUAUCUGCUGUUGGGGGUUUGUUUUCUAAGGAGGUAUUAGAAGCACUUAGAGGGUCAACUUCAACAAGACCAGCAAUAUUUGCAAUGUCAAAUCCCACAACC